UUUAUGGAGAGUUUGAUCCUGGCUCAGGAUGAACGCUGGCGGCGUGCCUAAUACAUGCAAGUCGAGCGAACGGACGAGAAGCUUGCUUCUCUGAUGUUAGCGGCGGACGGGUGAGUAACACGUGGAUAACCUACCUAUAAGACUGGGAUAACUUCGGGAAACCGGAGCUAAUACCGGAUAAUAUUUUGAACCGCAUGGUUCAAAAGUGAAAGACGGUCUUGCUGUCACUUAUAGAUGGAUCCGCGCUGCAUUAGCUAGUUGGUAAGGUAACGGCUUACCAAGGCAACGAUGCAUAGCCGACCUGAGAGGGUGAUCGGCCACACUGGAACUGAGACACGGUCCAGACUCCUACGGGAGGCAGCAGUAGGGAAUCUUCCGCAAUGGGCGAAAGCCUGACGGAGCAACGCCGCGUGAGUGAUGAAGGUCUUCGGAUCGUAAAACUCUGUUAUUAGGGAAGAACAUAUGUGUAAGUAACUGUGCACAUCUUGACGGUACCUAAUCAGAAAGCCACGGCUAACUACGUGCCAGCAGCCGCGGUAAUACGUAGGUGGCAAGCGUUAUCCGGAAUUAUUGGGCGUAAAGCGCGCGUAGGCGGUUCUUUAAGUCUGAUGUGAAAGCCCACGGCUCAACCGUGGAGGGUCAUUGGAAACUGGAAAACUUGAGUGCAGAAGAGGAAAGUGGAAUUCCAUGUGUAGCGGUGAAAUGCGCAGAGAUAUGGAGGAACACCAGUGGCGAAGGCGACUUUCUGGUCUGUAACUGACGCUGAUGUGCGAAAGCGUGGGGAUCAAACAGGAUUAGAUACCCUGGUAGUCCACGCCGUAAACGAUGAGUGCUAAGUGUUAGGGGGUUUCCGCCCCUUAGUGCUGCAGCUAACGCAUUAAGCACUCCGCCUGGGGAGUACGACCGCAAGGUUGAAACUCAAAGGAAUUGACGGGGACCCGCACAAGCGGUGGAGCAUGUGGUUUAAUUCGAAGCAACGCGAAGAACCUUACCAAAUCUUGACAUCCUUUGACAACUCUAGAGAUAGAGCCUUCCCCUUCGGGGGGCAAAGUGACAGGUGGUGCAUGGUUGUCGUCAGCUCGUGUCGUGAGAUGUUGGGUUAAGUCCCGCAACGAGCGCAACCCUUAAGCUUAGUUGCCAUCAUUAAGUUGGGCACUCUAAGUUGACUGCCGGUGACAAACCGGAGGAAGGUGGGGAUGACGUCAAAUCAUCAUGCCCCUUAUGAUUUGGGCUACACACGUGCUACAAUGGACAAUACAAAGGGCAGCGAAACCGCGAGGUCAAGCAAAUCCCAUAAAGUUGUUCUCAGUUCGGAUUGUAGUCUGCAACUCGACUACAUGAAGCUGGAAUCGCUAGUAAUCGUAGAUCAGCAUGCUACGGUGAAUACGUUCCCGGGUCUUGUACACACCGCCCGUCACACCACGAGAGUUUGUAACACCCGAAGCCGGUGGAGUAACCUUUUAGGAGCUAGCCGUCGAAGGUGGGACAAAUGAUUGGGGUGAAGUCGUAACAAGGUAGCCGUAUCGGAAGGUGCGGCUGGAUCACCUCCUUU
Molecule: ribosomal RNA, 1552 nt
Filed under: Staphylococcus aureus subsp. aureus TCH60
Lineage: Bacteria; Bacillati; Bacillota; Bacilli; Caryophanales; Staphylococcaceae
Description: 16S ribosomal RNA
Rfam family: Bacterial small subunit ribosomal RNA
Source: RNAcentral